RNAcentral lists this long non-coding RNA (1297 nucleotides) under Nicotiana tabacum (common tobacco). RNAcentral describes it as "long non-coding RNA (NTAB_LNC001091)". Lineage: Eukaryota; Viridiplantae; Streptophyta; Magnoliopsida; Solanales; Solanaceae. The record is from RNAcentral.
AAUUCCAAUUGGAGCUUGUCGCUAGUCGUAAAAUAGUUAUGACUUGUUAUUGUUUUAUAGUAUCUUGUUAUUGAUAAUUAUGUAUUGCUGGAUUUCUUUGGUAAUUGUUGUUGGUAUAUGGUAUUGGAGGAGGCUCUUGUUUUAGGGGGAUGCUGCCCGAAUUUAUAUAAACGAGCUACAAGUUUAAGUUGCAGACUUAGCCUUUAUUCAACACUGAUUUUGAAUCUCCUAAUGCAAUGGUAGAUUGAGUUGAGUUAUUUGAAGAGUAGCUUGGGAGGUAUUAAGGACUCACCAUGGUUAAGGUAUGUUAAGGCACUUCCCUCUUUCUUUUGGCAUGAUCUAAAAUGAAAUGAAUACGCUAUUUCAUAACGGAUCUACUCCUAGAAACUAAGGUUGCCCAUGUUGUUCUUUGCUUAUAAAGUUAUUCUAAGCAAGUAUGUAUGAUCCUUGAAUCCUACAAAAGCUCAUAUUGAUGGUAUGAUGUCCAUAAUGUUAAUCGAAGGUGCAACGACCUUAAGUCACUAUGAUGAUGCCCACAAAGGUGUAUGUUUUUAAAAGUUUAUGUAUAUAUAUCUAUUAUGCAUUUCAUGUUAGUAUCCCCCAGAGGCACUCAGAUGUUACAAGUUGUAUCUCCUCUAUCUCUCUUUAUAUUACUGUUCUUGUUUAUGCUUUCCUGCCUUACAUACUCGGUACUUUAUUAUUACUGACAUCCCUUUUGCCUGAGGAUGCUGCAUUUCAUGCCCGCAGGUCCCAAUUGAUAGGUUGGCAUUCCUCCUAGUAGGCUAUCAUCUCAGUGGAGGUGUUGGUGCACUCUAUUUGCUCCGUAGUUGCCUAUUUGGUCAAUAUGCUUUUGAUAUGUAUUGAUUGAUAUGGCGGGGCCCUAUCCCAACCUUUAUGAUUUUAUGUACUCUUAGAGGCUUGUAGACAAAUGUCAGGUUUAUGGAUACUUAAAUGGCCUUGUUAGCCUAUGUGUUGAGUUUACACAUGGUCAUGUCGGCCUUAUAGACCCUUAUGUCAUAUGUAUAAGUUUAUAUAUCAUGUUGGAUCGUCAUAUAUUGAGUAUUCCCUUAUGUUUUAUUCUUGUUAUCUCAUGACGGGUUUCUGGCUCAUUUACUCAAGAUAGUAUAAUAAGAAAGAUAUAUUAUGUUGGUACUCGAUUGAGUAAGGCAUCGGGUACCCAUCACGGCUCUUCAGUUUGGGUCAUGACAGAAGUGGUAUCAGAGCAGUUCUAUCCUAGGGAGUCUACAAGUCGUGUUUAGUAGAGUCUUGUUUAUUGGUGUGUUGUGCACCACACUUA